This 69-nucleotide transfer RNA is filed under the name Rattus norvegicus (Norway rat). It matches the Rfam family "tRNA". From Rfam's summary of the family: Transfer RNA (tRNA) molecules are approximately 80 nucleotides in length. Their secondary structure includes four short double-helical elements and three loops (D, anti-codon, and T loops). Further hydrogen bonds mediate the characteristic L-shaped molecular structure. tRNAs have two regions of fundamental functional importance: the anti-codon, which is responsible for specific mRNA codon recognition, and the 3' end, to which the tRNAs corresponding amino acid is attached (by aminoacyl-tRNA synthetases). tRNAs cope with the degeneracy of the genetic code in two manners: having more than one tRNA (with a specific anti-codon) for a particular amino acid; and 'wobble' base-pairing, i.e. permitting non-standard base-pairing at the 3rd anti-codon position. The record is from Rfam by way of RNAcentral. Lineage: Eukaryota; Metazoa; Chordata; Mammalia; Rodentia; Muridae.
GGGGAUUUAGCUCAGUGGUAGAGCGCUUGCCUAGCAAGCACAAGGACCUGGGUUCGGUCCCCAGCUCUG